This 76-nucleotide small RNA is filed under the name Xanthomonas campestris pv. badrii. RNAcentral describes it as "sX9 sRNA". It matches the Rfam family "Xanthomonas sRNA sX9". Lineage: Bacteria; Pseudomonadati; Pseudomonadota; Gammaproteobacteria; Lysobacterales; Lysobacteraceae. The record is from RNAcentral.
AUGUACCACUCGUACACUCCGGUUCCUGCGCGCCAUCCACACCCGCCUGACGACUGCUCGCUACGUUUUGUUAGCU